RNAcentral lists this long non-coding RNA (1048 nucleotides) under Bemisia tabaci. RNAcentral describes it as "lncRNA ENSSSA1NGG008849". Lineage: Eukaryota; Metazoa; Arthropoda; Insecta; Hemiptera; Aleyrodidae. The record is from RNAcentral.
UCCGAGAAGUGCUCAACGGUUUCGGUUUGUUUUCGUAGAUUACAGGCUGUCUGACGUCUGUUUCCGAAGACGAGUCUUUUUUCUGUAGUUUCAUUUAUGUACUUUUAUCACGUUUGUGCCGCGCUUCAUUAUUUUAACCAUUUUAAUAAUCCCGUUAAGUUUUUAUUUCGAUUUCCGUGUCCUUUUCCGCCUUUCUAAUCUUUGGAUAAUAACUUAGUUCGUAAACUUCAUCGAAUUCGUCUCUAUCAAUAAUAACUUUUGCAGUGUUUGUAUCAUCGUACCAUUCAGGAGUGCAGGUAUUCAGUGACAUGACUUCAAGCCCAGAAUUCAACAAAACUAUGACAACUCAGGACACCAAUUCAGUGGAUGGUAAGACCUUUCUUUCACUUUUCCCAAGCACAUUUUGAUUGAGUCUUACAUUAAUUUCAAGCUGUCUUAGAUGUACUGUAUUUACAUCAGCAAUCAAGGCUCACUUUGAACAUUUAGAGUGUCUAUCAAAGACUCGCACAGCCAUUCUUUUUGUUUUUGUGGAACAACGCAAUGUUAGAUACUAAGAGUACCGCACCAAAAUUAUUUUUGUGAUUUUAUUUAUUAAUAAUGUGCUGAACCCAACUCUGCAUCUAGCAGAUCUUCAACAUUAGCGCUCCGUCUACUUUUGAACUAAUGCCCAUCUUAUCUCAGGGACUUGCAAUUUCUCAUGAAAUUUUUUGUUAACAGCUGAUCUUCAACAAAAAUUUUUUAGCAAUAUUUAAUUUAUCAUGUGCUAUAUGAAUCGGUGCUGUAUGUUUUGUUGCUCUAUUGCACUCAGUAAGUCUGUGCCAGGGUUUUAAAGUCAGUACUUAUGUUUUAUAACCAUGAUACAUAUUGUGACCAGAACUGUAUUCUAAGCUUUCCUGCAAUCUACUGUUUUUCUUUAGUUUAAGGUUAGCUAUUAAUUAUUAUACAGCCAUACAGCCUCACUCAAAGCUUUUGAGAACUCUGCGUCUCGAACAGUUUAAUCAUGAGAACUGAGCUAUUACUUUGUGACAUUCAUUUACUGAAAUAUCUA